This 253-nucleotide ribosomal RNA is filed under the name uncultured bacterium. RNAcentral describes it as "partial 16S ribosomal RNA". It matches the Rfam family "Bacterial small subunit ribosomal RNA", at positions 524 to 776 of the family's 1533-position model. The record is from RNAcentral.
UACGUAGGGUGCGAGCGUUAAUCGGAAUUACUGGGCGUAAAGCGUGCGCAGGCGGUGAUGUAAGUCAGUUGUGAAAUCCCCGGGCUCAACCCGGGAACUGCAUCUGUGACUGCAUCGCUGGAGUGCGGCAGAGGGGGAUGGAAUUCCGCGUGUAGCAGUGAAAUGCGUAGAUAUGCGGAGGAACACCGAUGGCGAAGGCAAUCCCCUGGGCCUGCACUGACGCUCAUGCACGAAAGCGUGGGGAGCAAACAGG